Colossoma macropomum (tambaqui) is the source of this 1666-nucleotide long non-coding RNA. RefSeq lists it as uncharacterized. NCBI's taxonomy places the organism in Eukaryota, Metazoa, Chordata, Actinopteri, Characiformes, Serrasalmidae. The transcript is spliced from 3 exons. The record is from RefSeq and is a predicted model, not a curated record.
AUCGUGAAGCUGAUCUCCACAUUGAAGGGUUAGUUCUGAGUCGUUGUUGGUUUACCUAAAAUACUCUUUAGAAAUGGCGCUGUUACAUAUGAGCACGUUUUUCAAAGAACAUCCUUGGAGCAGUAACGUGGUUUUUAGCCUGAUUCUUGUCAUUUUAGAAAAGAUUGCUGAGAUUGACUUUGUGUGUCCUUGUAGACACGGAUAUACAAUGGCAUUUUUUAUUUUGUACCUGGUGACACCAAUGGUUGUCACUUUUGUUGCACUUUACAUUCUUUUGCCUCAUGUGGAAAAACAUUCAGAAGAUCGUUGUACAGAAUGGUGUACAAAUUGUAAAGAUUGUUGUACAGAAUUGGGUACAAAUUGUUGUUGUUGUUGUGAAGAUUGUUGUACAGAAUGGUGUACAAAUUGUAAAGAUCGUUGUACAGAAUGGUGUACAAAUUAUAAAGAUCGUUGUACAGAAUGGUGUACAAAUUAUAAAGAUCGUUGUACAGAAUGGUGUACAAAUUGUAAAGAUUGUUCUACAGAACGGUGUACAAAUUGUAAAGAUCGUUGUACAGAAUGGUGUACAAAUUGUUGUUGUAAAGAUUGUUGUACAGAAUUGUGUAAGAAGAUCUUGUGGAAGUGUUUGUGCUGCAUGCCUCCAGUUUUUGUCUGGCUUGGCCUGUUCUUCUGUGAUGGUAGAUACCUGGCUUGUUAUAUGUCUGAUUACUAUGGGGAAUAUGCUGACAGCAAUCCACAGAAUCCGUGGGAGUGGUGUAACAACAACCGAACACUGACUGGUAACCAGCGCACGGUACAGAAAUCAUUUUACAUAAUUAAGAUUAUUGUUUUUUCUAUCCUUCUUGUCAUCUCAGCUGGAGCCCUGUAUUGUGAUUGCCGUAAGGAAUGCAAAGUCCUACAAAAAAGAGGCAAUGGUCGAUUAUGAAGAGAUCAGUCAAGCCGUCAGCUCCGGAUUAACUGAACUCUCUCCAGAAAUGCUUAAGAAGUUUGUUGAUGAUCAAAUCCUAUACCUGGGUAGAGGUGCAGAAUAUCUGGAAACGGACAGACUAAAAGUAAAGAUUAGCAAAGCCAUCAGCUCCGCAUUUACUGAACUCUCCGAAGAAAAGGUUGAGAAGUUUGAUGAUGGUGAAGUCCCGUACCUGGGUAGAGGUAAAGGAUGGAAGGCACUGGCCAGUUCUGAAGAGAACAGUCAAGCCAUCAGCUCCGCUUUAACUGGACUCUCCAAAAAAAUGGUUAAGAAGUUUGAUGAUGGUCAAGUCCUGUACCUGGGUAGAGGUAAAGGAUGGAAGAGGAUGGCCAGUUUAGAAGAGAUCAAUAAACCCGCCAGCUCUGAGUUAACUGGACUAUCCUCAGAAGAGCUUAAGGAAUUGGUCGAUGGUCAAUUCCUAUACCUGCGUAAAGGUGCAGAAUGGGAGGAAAUGGACAGUUGUGAAAAGAUCAGUGAAGCCGUCAGCUCCGCAUUAACUGAACUCUCUCCAGACACGUUUAAGAAGUUGAUUGAUGGUCAAAUCCUAUACCUGCAUAAAGGUGCAAAAUGUCAGAAAACGGCCAGUUUGGAAAAGAUCAGCCAAGGUGUCAGCUCUGCAUUAACCGGACUCUCUCCAAAAAAGCUUAAAAAAUUGCUUGAUGGACUGGUUAGUGCUGGUGUGAAUACCAAGUCAGAUCU